RNAcentral lists this ribosomal RNA (446 nucleotides) under uncultured bacterium. RNAcentral's name for it is "partial 16S ribosomal RNA". It matches the Rfam family "Bacterial small subunit ribosomal RNA", at positions 331 to 792 of the family's 1533-position model. The record is from RNAcentral.
CCAGACUCCUACGGGAGGCAGCAGUGGGGAAUAUUGCACAAUGGGGGGAACCCUGAUGCAGCGACGCCGCGUGGGCGAGGAAGUAUUUCGGUAUGUAAAGCCCUAUCGGCAGGGAAGAAGAAAUGACGGUACCUGAAUAAGAAGCACCGGCUAAAUACGUGCCAGCAGCCGCGGUAAUACGUAUGGUGCAAGCGUUAUCCGGAUUUACUGGGUGUAAAGGGGGCGCAGACGGCAGCGCAAGCCAGGAGUGAAAGCCCGGGGCCCAACCCCGGGACUGCUCUUGGAACUGCGCGGCUGGAGUGCAGGAGGGGCAGGCGGAAUUCCUGGUGUAGCGGUGAAAUGCGUAGAUAUCAGGAGGAACACCGGCGGCGAAGGCGGCCUGCUGGACCGCUACUGACGUUGAGGCUCGAAAGCGUGGGGAGCGAACAGGAUUAGAUACCCUAGUA